GACGGAGGAUGCAAGCGUUAUCCGGAAUGAUUGGGCGUAAAGCGUCCGCAGGUGGCAGUUCAAGUCUGCUGUCAAAGACCGGGGCUUAACUUCGGAAAGGCAGUGGAAACUGAACAGCUAGAGUAUGGUAGGGGCAGAGGGAAUUCCUGGUGUAGCGGUGAAAUGCGUAGAGAUGUGGAGGAACACCGAUGGCGAAGGCAGCCCCCUGGGUCAAGAUUGGACGCUCAUGCACGAAAGCGUGGGGAGCAACAGG
This 253-nucleotide ribosomal RNA is filed under the name uncultured bacterium. RNAcentral's name for it is "partial 16S ribosomal RNA". It matches the Rfam family "Bacterial small subunit ribosomal RNA", at positions 524 to 775 of the family's 1533-position model. The record is from RNAcentral.